GAUGAACGCUGGCGGCGUGCCUAAUACAUGCAAGUCGAGCGAACGGACGAGAAGCUUGCUUCUCUGAUGUUAGCGGCGGACGGGUGAGUAACACGUGGAUAACCUACCUAUAAGACUGGGAUAACUUCGGGAAACCGGAGCUAAUACCGGAUAAUAUUUUGAACCGCAUGGUUCAAAAGUGAAAGACGGUCUUGCUGUCACUUAUAGAUGGAUCCGCGCUGCAUUAGCUAGUUGGUAAGGUAACGGCUUACCAAGGCAACGAUGCAUAGCCGACCUGAGAGGGUGAUCGGCCACACUGGAACUGAGACACGGUCCAGACUCCUGCGGGAGGCAGCAGUAGGGAAUCUGCCGCAAUGGGCGGAAGCCUGACGGAGCAACGCCGCGUGAGUGAUGAAGGUCUUCGGAUCGUAAAACUCUGUUAUUAGGGAAGAACAUAUGUGUAAGUAACUGUGCACAUCUUGACGGUACCUAAUCAGAAAGCCACGGCUAACUACGUG
Molecule: ribosomal RNA, 497 nt
Filed under: uncultured bacterium
Lineage: Bacteria
Description: partial 16S ribosomal RNA
Rfam family: Bacterial small subunit ribosomal RNA
Source: RNAcentral